UACGUAGGGUGCAAGCGUUGUCCGGAAUUAUUGGGCGUAAAGGGCUCGUAGGCGGUUUGUCGCGUCGGGAGUGAAAACCUUGGGCUUAACUCAGGGCUUGCUUUCGAUACGGGCAGACUAGAGGUAUGCAGGGGAGAACGGAAUUCCUGGUGUAGCGGUGAAAUGCGCAGAUAUCAGGAGGAACACCGGUGGCGAAGGCGGUUCUCUGGGCAUGAUCUGACGCUGAGGAGCGAAAGCGUGGGGAGCGAACAGG
RNAcentral lists this ribosomal RNA (253 nucleotides) under uncultured bacterium. RNAcentral describes it as "partial 16S ribosomal RNA". It matches the Rfam family "Bacterial small subunit ribosomal RNA", at positions 524 to 776 of the family's 1533-position model. The record is from RNAcentral.